GGUGGCGAGUGGCGGACGGGUGAGUAACACGUGGGCAACCUGCCCUUCACUCUGGGAUAACCCCGGGAAACCGGGGCUAAUACCGGAUACGACCCCUGCAGGCAUCUGCGGGGGUGGAAAGUUUUUCGGUGAAGGAUGGGCCCGCGGCCUAUCAGCUUGUUGGUGAGGUAGUGGCUCACCAAGGCGACGACGGGUAGCCGGCCUGAGAGGGCGACCGGCCACACUGGGACUGAGAUACGGCCCAGACUCC
RNAcentral lists this ribosomal RNA (250 nucleotides) under uncultured bacterium. Its description in RNAcentral is "partial 16S ribosomal RNA". It matches the Rfam family "Bacterial small subunit ribosomal RNA", at positions 87 to 339 of the family's 1533-position model. The record is from RNAcentral.